CAGUAGCCACGGUAAUACGGAGGAUCCGAGCGUUAUCCGGAAUUAUUGGGUUUAAAGGGUGCGUAGGCGGAUAGAUAAGUCAGUGGUGAAAGACGGUGGCUCAACCAUCGCAGUGCCGUUGAUACUGUUUAUCUUGAAUAUGGAUGAGGUAGGCGGAAUGUGGCAAGUAGCGGUGAAAUGCAUAGAUAUGCCACAGAACACCGAUUGCGAAGGCAGCUUACCAAGGCAAAAUUGACGCUGAGGCACGAAAGCGUGGGGAUCGAACAGGAUUAGAUACCCCCGUAGUCCCUGUCUCUUAUCA
RNAcentral lists this ribosomal RNA (301 nucleotides) under uncultured bacterium. Its description in RNAcentral is "partial 16S ribosomal RNA". It matches the Rfam family "Bacterial small subunit ribosomal RNA", at positions 509 to 809 of the family's 1533-position model. The record is from RNAcentral.